UUGUCCCUGCUGUGUUCGUGACUAGGUCAUAUAUUCUCAGAACCAAUGCUUAUGGCAUACAUAGGUUGCGGGAUAGUUCGACGGGCAUGCGAGUCUCUAGCAGAUUCGCUCAAAGUCAACAGAGCGCGGCCAACUUGAACUUACGGUUCGAGAUGCCGGCCUAAACGGCACAAGCGGGGCAUCU
This 184-nucleotide non-coding RNA is filed under the name Alcaligenaceae bacterium. Its description in RNAcentral is "6S RNA". It matches the Rfam family "6S / SsrS RNA". From Rfam's summary of the family: E. coli 6S RNA was the first non coding RNA to be sequenced, but its function was unknown until recently. It consists of 184 nucleotides that fold into an extended hairpin structure with a large single-stranded internal bulge. The record is from RNAcentral. Lineage: Bacteria; Pseudomonadati; Pseudomonadota; Betaproteobacteria; Burkholderiales; Alcaligenaceae.